RNAcentral lists this ribosomal RNA (415 nucleotides) under uncultured prokaryote. RNAcentral's name for it is "bacterial SSU rRNA". It matches the Rfam family "Bacterial small subunit ribosomal RNA", at positions 505 to 918 of the family's 1533-position model. The record is from RNAcentral.
GUGUCAGCCGCCGCGGUAAGACGAACCGUGCGAACGUUAUUCGGAAUCAUUGGGCUUAAAGGGUACGUAGGCGGCGCUGUCAGUCGGGUGUGAAAGCCCUCGGCUCAACCGAGGAAUUGCGCCCGAUACUGCAGUGCUUGAGGGAGACAGAGGUAAGCGGAACUGAUGGUGGAGCGGUGAAAUGCGUUGAUAUCAUCAGGAACACCAGUGGCGAAAGCGGCUUACUGGGUCUCUUCUGACGCUGAGGCACGAAAGCUAGGGGAGCGAACGGGAUUAGAUACCCCGGUAGUCCUAGCUGUAAACGCUGAGCACUUGAUCGAGGAUCCCCCCAUAGGUUCUCGGUCGUAGCGAAAGUGGUAAGUGCUCCGCCUGGGGAGUAUGGUCGCAAGGCUGAAACUUAAAGGAAUUGGCGGGG